AUCAAUGUUGUGAGAGCAGUCGAACAAGAUGAAAGGUUUUGUGCUAUUCCUGGUUAUCGUGCUUCUUGCGUAUACGUACGCUGCCUCAACAGGGGCACCUGUUAACUACGGCAAUAUAGAGGCGCAUACCGGCAGUGCUGCUUCUGGAGUCGUGUCGGACUCAACCUUUGGAAAUGGCGCGUUUAGUGCAGCUGGUAGAAGAUCGUGUGGUUUGUUCUCGCUGUUUUCGGGUUGCUGAUUGCAUAUGCAUACUAUACAUUCAGAUGGCAGAAACAACUGGAGAGCAUAAGAAAUAUUUUUUUCUGAGAUUUAUAUGUAUAUGACAAUUAUGAUAGAUACCAUUAUUUCUCUACGCAAGCAAGUCCCGCGACAAGCUUUUCCAUUAUUGAAAUCAUAUUUUAUUUCUUUUCUCACCUAUUAAAAAAAAAAAAACGUAAUCCUACAGUUGUAGAAUUUUAUACGUCAUUAUUGUGUAUUUAUUAAAUAUAAAUAUUUGUAUUUUAUA
This is a long non-coding RNA of Helicoverpa zea (corn earworm), 505 nucleotides long. RefSeq lists it as uncharacterized. The transcript has 3 exons. NCBI's taxonomy places the organism in Eukaryota, Metazoa, Arthropoda, Insecta, Lepidoptera, Noctuidae. The record is from RefSeq and is a predicted model, not a curated record.